UGCCUGUUGUGCUGUGAA
Molecule: microRNA, 18 nt
Filed under: Chiloscyllium plagiosum (whitespotted bambooshark)
Lineage: Eukaryota; Metazoa; Chordata; Chondrichthyes; Orectolobiformes; Hemiscylliidae
Description: microRNA PC-5p-1157116_1
Source: RNAcentral